This is a long non-coding RNA of Aphis gossypii (cotton aphid), 715 nucleotides long. RefSeq lists it as uncharacterized. The record is from RefSeq and is a predicted model, not a curated record. The transcript is spliced from 3 exons. NCBI's taxonomy places the organism in Eukaryota, Metazoa, Arthropoda, Insecta, Hemiptera, Aphididae.
AUUCUUUCUCCGGAUUCCGCCAGUCACGUAUUGAACUCUGACAAUUACAACUAGUUCAGGCGAACGAUGGGUAUUAUAGGAAUAAGGAAUAUACCUCGACGGCCGCCGCGACGGCGAAACGAAAGAUUUUAGCUACACCGAGUAAAUAACACUCGACUUGAAACGUUUGUUUAAUUCUUUCAGAUUCGCACAAGUGAUUUAUAUUUGUUGCGCGGUAAGUCAGAUAAGUACUGCACUGCACUUCGCGGAAUAAUAAUAUAACUGGAGAUUUGGUUGUUGUUCCCGAGGGAGAAACGCAUAUUUUGGACAUCUAAAGAACUAUAUUAUAGUCGUCUCGACCAGGCGCUAAAAACAAUACGGAUAAGUCGUGUUCUUCCGUGUAACAUCAACAGAAUAAUACGUUGACGCCGUGCCGCCUCUAGCUGUUGUCUCAUUGCCAAAACUCUGACACGACUACCAUUUCAGACCAUUUGGCCGUUAGUUCGAAGAACGUAAAGUAAUCCAUUUUUCAUUAAAACGCAGCUAUUGUGGCAGACGCGUGGUCAAAAUUUGAAAUGGUCUACAACGAUCUAUUGGUCGACGCUUAAAGCUCGAUGUGUAAUGUUGUUUAUUCUAAUUCAGAACUCAUAUAAAUCACCAGCAAGCCGAAUUUUCACAAUAAACGACAGUUGGACCGUCGUAUUUUUUUAUUAUUAUUAAGAUUGUCUUCUAAAAA